This 584-nucleotide ribosomal RNA is filed under the name uncultured bacterium. RNAcentral describes it as "partial 16S ribosomal RNA". The record is from RNAcentral.
ACGGCUACCUUGUUACGACUUCACCCCAAUUAUCAAGCCCACCUUCGGCCGCGUCCUCCUUGCGGUUAGACUACGGACUUCGGGUGUUCCCGACUCUCAUGGUGUGACGGGCGGUGUGUACAAGGCCCGGGAACGUAUUCACCGCGGCAUGCUGAUCCGCGAUUACUAGCAAUUCCGACUUCGUGCAGUCGAGUUGCAGACUGCAGUCCGAACUGGGACACUUUUUGGGGAUUUGCUCCACCUCGCGGCUUUGCUUCCCUUUGUUAAGUGCCAUUGUAUUACGUGUGUAGCCCAGGAUAUAAGGGGCAUGAUGAUUUGACGUCGUCCCCACCUUCCUCCGUUUUGUCAACGGCAGUCUCGCUAGAGUGCUCUUGCGUAGCAACUAACAAUAAGGGUUGCGCUCGUUGCGGGACUUAACCCAACAUCUCACGACACGAGCUGACGACAACCAUGCACCACCUGUCACCGGUGUCCCCGAAGGGAAAACCAUAUCUCUAUGGCGGUCACCGGGAUGUCAAACCCUGGUAAGGUUCUUCGCGUUGCUUCGAAUUAAACACAUAAUCCACUGCUUGUGCGGGCCCCCG